UGAAAUAUUACAGAUUACUCAUAUCUAUAAACUGGAUAUAAUUUUAAAAAGAAAAAGACAUUGUCUUCGUGUUUUUUUUUUUUAAUUUUUGGACUUACACAGAAGAAGACGAUGAUGCUGAAGGAGAUGAAGAAGGAUCAAAGACUGAGCAAAACUCAAACCUAUUAGCUUCCAUCUUUUCCACCACGAAAUGCCCCAACAAUUCUUUCGUUUCCACCAAAUUCUCACUGCACAAGAACUCUUCACUGCAGAUUUUCUCAACAUUUCUGUCGAUUUCGUGAACAAAAACAUGGGUUUUGCCGGAAUUACCUCUCUUACUCCGGGCAAAAACGCCGGCGGUGUAAAUCGCUGACAUCCGUCCCGGAGCGGCAGAGGAAAACCCACGUGGCCCGUCUAUCAAAAUGACAUCCCACGGCACAUCGUAUAUGUGAUUUGGCAGGUCAUUGAUCCCCAAUUUACAGUCGGAAAAUAGAAGAUUCUGAACAGGCCGGCACUCUCCUUUGAGCUGCUCUUUCGUGUAAUCCAACAAAUCGUGCAAUUCACUCACUUUCGUCGUGAAUUGAACAUCGUAAGCUUCAAUUUCCGGGUGCUUCUCUUCUAGCUUAGAUACCAAAUAAGCACUUUCAUCCACAAAUACUGUACGCCCUUUAUGAUUGAACGAAUGCCACAACAGGGUUUCGUGAGUAAGACCAAAAACAAGGAAAUUACAAGGAGCUUUACAACGGCGGAGGACUGUAGCGAUCGACUUCAACUCCACCGCCGACAUGCGGGAAGAAACAGUAGACGAGUUCAUAGAAG
RNAcentral lists this unclassified non-coding RNA (798 nucleotides) under Hevea brasiliensis (rubber tree). Lineage: Eukaryota; Viridiplantae; Streptophyta; Magnoliopsida; Malpighiales; Euphorbiaceae. The record is from RNAcentral.